GUAUAAAGUUUUCAUCAAGUCAAAUAUAUUCACUUUAAAGUGACUGUGCUUUAUUCUGAUACCAUGUCCUUCCUAAUUUGGGGGGCACAGCUGGAGAAAAUUCACUGGCAAUGGAAUAUUUAAAAUUAGAGCUUGCUUAGUGUGCUGCUUCUGAUCACUACUUGAUCCCACUUCGUGCUUUCAUGUUAAUUGGCCCAAUUGGACUCUACAGUUGGAAGGUGAAAACUUACUAUUUCAACUUGAGUCACGUAUGUAUUCUUAUCAUAUACUUCUUAAAGGUACUAUUUUUUUUCUUCUGAUAGUCACCACACCAAGCACUUCCAGCCACCCUGCCACAGACUUCCUUUGUAAUCACUGUUGAAGGACAUGAUGUUUUUA
This 378-nucleotide long non-coding RNA is filed under the name Homo sapiens (human). RNAcentral describes it as "non-protein coding lnc-IL18-1:2". The record is from RNAcentral. Lineage: Eukaryota; Metazoa; Chordata; Mammalia; Primates; Hominidae.